UACGUAGGCAGCAAGCGUUGUUCGGAGUUACUGGGCGUAAAGAGUGCGUAGGCGGUGUCGAAAGUUUGGCGUGAAAUCUCCCGCUUAACUGGGAGGGUGCGCCGAAAACUGCGGUGCUGGAGUGUGGGAAAGGCAAGCGGAAUUCCUGGUGUAGCGGUGAAAUGCGCAGAUAUCAGGAGGAACACCGGUGGCGAAGGCGGGUCUCUGGGCCGAUACUGACGCUGAGGAGCGAAAGCGUGGGGAGCGAACAGG
Molecule: ribosomal RNA, 252 nt
Filed under: uncultured bacterium
Lineage: Bacteria
Description: partial 16S ribosomal RNA
Rfam family: Bacterial small subunit ribosomal RNA
Source: RNAcentral